Molecule: long non-coding RNA, 482 nt
Organism: Danio aesculapii
Lineage: Eukaryota; Metazoa; Chordata; Actinopteri; Cypriniformes; Danionidae
Exons: 4
Source: RefSeq, a predicted model, not a curated record
AUUCGCAGUAUCGUGGUUGCAUUCGUUGUGGGCAUUGUUAAUGUUUUCAAACACCUAAAGGCUGACCAGGUUUUCAAGAUGGCUCUCAAAAAGGAGUGUACUACAAGGUGCAGGCGAAAAUCAUCGCUUAUGCUGUUAGAUAGUAGCAACUGACUCGCUUCCUGUCGGUCACUCUCUUCUAAAUACAAUUUGAAUUUUGACGAGGUAAUGCAGGUUCAUUUCAAGGAUUCUAGAAAUUGUACCAGUUCCAGUCUGGAUCCAGCCUAACUUGUGAACACCACAGAAGACAUCAAAGCUACAGAGUUUAAAUAACUAGAACUGGACAAACAGAAUUGGCAAAAAUCAAAGCAAACACCACUACAUUACUAUAUUAUUAUUAAAACAAUAAAAAUAUAAAAGAGAUAGAUGGACUUGGUGAGAUUUACCUGUUUUGUGAUGAUUUUGUUUAGCUGUAGAUUUAAAUAUCCAUUGAGGAAAAAUGU